GCUCAGGAUGAACGCUGGCGGCGUGCUUAACACAUGCAAGUCGAACGAUGAUCUCCAGCUUGCUGGGGGGAUUAGUGGCGAACGGGUGAGUAACACGUGAGUAACCUGCCCUUGACUCUGGGAUAAGCCUGGGAAACUGGGUCUAAUACCGGAUAUGACCAUCUGGCGCAUGUCAUGGUGGUGGAAAGCUUUUUUGUGGUUUUGGAUGGACUCGCGGCCUAUCAGCUUGUUGGUGGGGUAAUGGCCUACCAAGGCGACGACGGGUAGCCGGCCUGAGAGGGUGACCGGCCACACUGGGACUGAGACACGGCCCAGACUCCUACGGGAGGCAGCAGUGGGGAAUAUUGCACAAUGGGCGCAAGCCUGAUGCAGCGACGCCGCGUGAGGGAUGACGGCCUUCGGGUUGUAAACCUCUUUCAGUAGGGAAGAAGCGUAAGUGACGGUACCUGCAGAAGAAGCGCCGGCUAACUACGUGCCAGCAGCCGCGGUAAUACGUAGGGCGCAAGCGUUAUCCGGAAUUAUUGGGCGUAAAGAGCUCGUAGGCGGUUUGUCGCGUCUGCUGUGAAAGACCGGGGCUCAACUCCGGUUCUGCAGUGGGUACGGGCAGACUAGAGUGCAGUAGGGGAGACUGGAAUUCCUGGUGUAGCGGUGAAAUGCGC
Molecule: ribosomal RNA, 659 nt
Filed under: Arthrobacter sp. TN84C
Lineage: Bacteria; Bacillati; Actinomycetota; Actinomycetes; Micrococcales; Micrococcaceae
Description: bacterial SSU rRNA
Rfam family: Bacterial small subunit ribosomal RNA
Source: RNAcentral